Lepisosteus oculatus (spotted gar) is the source of this 119-nucleotide ribosomal RNA. Lineage: Eukaryota; Metazoa; Chordata; Actinopteri; Semionotiformes; Lepisosteidae. The record is from Ensembl.
CUCAGCAGCCAUAUCACCCUGCAACUCACAACUGGCAACCCACUGAAGCUAAGCAGGUGUGAGCCUGGUCAGUACCUGGAUGGGAGAGCUCCUGGGAGAAACUAAGGUUGCUGCUGGAA